GGGGUUGUGGCUCAGAGGUAGAGAGCUCGCCUACCAUGCGUGAGGUACUGGGUUCAAUUCCCAGCACCA
Molecule: transfer RNA, 69 nt
Filed under: Marmota marmota marmota (Alpine marmot)
Lineage: Eukaryota; Metazoa; Chordata; Mammalia; Rodentia; Sciuridae
Also listed under: 2 other names
Rfam family: tRNA
About the family: Transfer RNA (tRNA) molecules are approximately 80 nucleotides in length.
Source: Rfam by way of RNAcentral